UGGGAUGACACUGACGCUCAUGCACGAAAGUGUGGGGAGCAAACAGGAUUAGAUACCCUGGUAGUCCACGCCCUAAGCGAUGUCAACUAGCUGUUGGGGCCUUCGGGCCUUGGUAGCGCAGCUAACGCGUGGAGUUGACCGCCUGGGGAGUACGGUCGCAAGAUUAAAACUCAAAGGAAUUGACGGGGACCCGCACAAGCGGUGGAUGAUGUGGAUUAAUUCGAUGCAACGCGAAAAACCUUACCUACCCUUGACAUGUCUGGAAUCCCGAAGAGAUUUGGGAGUGCUCGCAAGAGAACCGGAACACAGGUGCUGCAUGGCUGUCGUCAGCUCGUGUCGUGAGAUGUUGGGUUAAGUCCCGCAACGAGCGCAACCCUUGUCAUUAGUUGCUACGAAAGGGCACUCUAAUGAGACUGCCGGUGACAAACCGGAGGAAGGUGGGGAUGACGUCAAGUCCUCAUGGCCCUUAUGGGUAGGGCUUCACACGUCAUACAAUGGUCGGGACAGAGGGUUGCCAAGCCGCGAGGUGGAGCUAAUCUCACAAACCCGAUCGUAGUCCGGAUUGCAGUCUGCAACUCGACUGCAUGAAGUCGGAAUCGCUAGUAAUCG
This 609-nucleotide ribosomal RNA is filed under the name uncultured bacterium. RNAcentral describes it as "bacterial SSU rRNA". It matches the Rfam family "Bacterial small subunit ribosomal RNA", at positions 730 to 1344 of the family's 1533-position model. The record is from RNAcentral.